UUGAAGAACGUCACCGUUGAGCUCAAGAAGUAGCGAAACGAAAUGUAUCAGGUUUGACUACUACUUAUUAUAAAUCAGUUUCUGGCUAAUAUUGUAUUUCCAUUUUAAACUAUUGUAUAUAACUCUUAAAAUACAUUUCGUAUAGUAUAUAAUUCCUGGAGUUUCUCAUCUUUUUUUUUGUAUCCUUUAUGAUAUCUAAUAAAACACAUUUCAUUGCUUAUGCUUGUGCAAGCUAAAUUCCACUAUGACAGAGGAUAUGUUUCCUUCUGUCUUCACUAACUUAAUUACGAGGAAAUUCGUAGAAGUCAAAGAGUAAGCACAUGAGAUUUUGAUUUUCUUUUUUUAGUGGGGAUCCCAGAUUCUAGGUAAUUUAGAAUGAUCUUAACAUACGGAAAGAAGUACUUUAUUGUCCCUUUAUGAUGAGAAGGGUUUCCUCAAUCGUUAAUUGUAGCAAGUCUUUUGAAUUCAUUUUAAAUAUAUAGUAAAAAUUGUUUCAGGUGCAAUCUUUUUAUGAUUUUUGAUAAGAUUGAUAUUGACCUAAUAUAUAGAUGAACUGUACCUUGUAAAAAAAAUCCACACAAGGUCUUGUCUUGUUGGCCUUUUAAUACCUGCUUUAGUUUUAACUGUCUUUGUAAAGUCGAGCAAUGUUUUUUUGAUGGUGUCAUUUUUUCCCUUUCUUCUUUCUGUUUCCAGGAAGUACUUUUCAAAAAUAAAACCAACUUAGAGAACACCAAGGUGUUUUCAGCUGUUUAUCAGACAAGACCAAGAAACUAUGCUUAAAUUUACCAACAGAACGUACUCAAGUGCAGUCUAGUGUAAGAUUUUAAUUAACUUGGUAAAGAUUUAAUUUUUUUCUGUAUUUUUAAAUAUCCAUUAAUAAAAUUUGAUUCUUUUUUCCCCACAAAAACUGUAACCAAACACAUUCACGUUUAGAAAGUUUAGAUAACUAGAGUUGUAUAUUGAGCUCAAAAAUAGAAUAUGCAUUUGUUUCAUUUACUGUGGAUAUUAUUAUCUUGAUCCAAACUGAUAUUUGCUUUAAUGGUUUUAUAAUUUAUGUUUGUACAUAUAUUUUAGAAUUAGUUUGUUCCAGAACUAUAUUAGAUGAAAUGUGCAAUCAAUGUUUUCAAGAUUCAGUUAAUAUAUAACAGGUCAACAUUGGGAAUUUCGGAAUAGGCUGGCCAGUACUAGGCAUCUUAAAAUUAACUACCAUAUGGUUUUGGCUUCGUUAUGGGUUCUGUUAUAGGGAACCGUAUUGCCCCUAAUUAGAUGGAGCUAUCAGCAGAUUGUAGCAGUGGUAUUCAGCAUUAGGGCUUGGGACGUGGUUUGGCCUAUUCAUGACAUUAAGGUCAUUUUGGUUUGGGACAAUAGAAUGUGGUGGUAAUAUAAUAGAUUUUUUAAACUGAAUAAAGGCAGUGAUAAAAUUGAAUUGAGCAUGAUGCCAUGAGCUCUUUAGUGUUUGGUUAGUUACUUGGGAAGUGUGCCAGAAUGGACUAGAAGUGCUCAAAAGUAUCUAAUUAGUAUGAAUCAUUACCAUGAGGUUGGUAGUGGACCAUCACUCCCCCCAUUAAGGAAUGAUAAAGGUUUUUGAGGCACUGCUAGCAAUGGCUCAUUAACUCCACUUUUGGCUAACCUAACUAGGUUACGUUUGGAAUGGGAACGAGGUAUUCUAUUCCUCUGCUCACACCCCGAACCAAAUGCCUUCACGCCGACAACAAGAGAGCAACAUUAAUUUUUUAUUUGUGACAAGUCGAUAGUACUUUUGUUGAGUCUAAGAUAUUGUAAAAAUAAAAAAUAUUAAGAAAAAGUCUAAUGGGGGUGGGGUGGGUUCUUCUGAACAGUGUGGGGGUAGGAACAGGGGGGUUAACUUCAGGGAGGUGAGGUUAAGGAAGGACAGUCUUUGAAAGAUGUUGCUGCUUGUGCUUAAGAAGCCUGACAUCUGAAGAGUGUGUGAUGUGAUUCUUGCCAAAUUGCAGAAUUAACAAGAAAGUUAAUAAUUGCAGAAAUUACUUAAUUUUUAGAAUUGACUCAUGUCAGCUACUAUUACAUGUGUAACUGCAUACGGGAACUAACAAUCAGUGUUACGUACAUAUUUGUUAUGAUAUUUUGUACUUCUUAACAGUAUUAUUGGUAAAUAUUUAAUUAGUUGGUUUGUUUAUAUAUUAAUCACUCUAGUGUAGACAGGUGGAGCUGUGUUUUUGGAUCCAUCGUUGGAGGCUCUAGUGUUGAAGAACGUCACCGUUGUGCUCAAGAAGUAGCAAAAUGAAAUGUAUCAGGUUUGACUAAUCAUUAUGAUGUUUCAGUUUCUGGUUAGCAUUGUGUUUCCAUUUAUAUUAUGAUUUUUCGUACUGAUAUGAGAAUCCUUUUAAAUCUGAAAACAUCGACAUCUUCUUUGUUCUUCUGUAUAUAGUCAAUCUUAAUACUGGGAGAAAUGGAAUAAUAGACUUGGAAAGGUCUUAAAUUUAACAUUCAACUCAUCAUAAGUUGAAUAGAUAAAUUACGUUCAAAUGCCAUUAAAUGGGAAAAAUCCAAAUUAAAGAGCCAUCUCCCCUAAGAAUAUGAAGCCUUAAACUUUGAAACUGCAUCAAUCAAACCUACACUUCCUGAAUUUGAGUCUUUGAGCCAAUGUUAAACUUAAGUAUAUAUUACACAAAUGAUUUCCUAAAUUUAUCCAUUGGAGCGGAGUUUUCGAUAUGGUUGCUGUUGUUGAAGACGAGAGUCCUUGGGCUGUUUGUAAUUUUUAGAACAGCAAGCUGAGAACUAUUACCUUUAAUGAUUUUGCCAAAAAAAAGUUUUUGGUUAAGUAAUUAAAGAUUUUGCAAUUACCUUCUUUGAAUCUUAAUACAUUAGCCGUAGUUUUACCUUGUUUUAUUGAUUCUCUUGGGUAAAGUCCAUUUAAUUUAAAAUUAAUUUUUAUUCUCUUAUGCGCUCUCCAAUAAAUAUAAAAUUUUUAUGCAGGUUAUUGAAUUGUUGGGUUUGGGCUUGGCAAGAGCAUGGAUGAGCACUCUGCAGUCUGCUCUCAUGGAUGCAGUAGUGGUACACUUAUUUUUUAGAAUUUGAAGCUCCAUACUGUCAAGAAAUUGAAUUGUUUCGAAAUAAAUGGCACAAUUUAUGUAUAGAAAAGAAGCAUAUGCAACUUUCUGAAAUAUCUCAUAGAAGUAACUACAAUUAAUGCCUUUCCUGUACCAGCUGAUGUUAUGCUUUAGAUCCGUUCUGUUUAUAGUUAUAUUAUAUUCCUAGAAGUUUAAUUUUUGAACGGUGGCUUGAGGCGCCUUGUUUUGGUUUACAAUUGUAUCUACUGGAGUAUGAUCCAGUAUGAUAUACUGGAAUAUUU
RNAcentral lists this long non-coding RNA (3331 nucleotides) under Panax ginseng (ginseng). RNAcentral's name for it is "long non-coding RNA (PGIN_LNC003988)". The record is from RNAcentral. Lineage: Eukaryota; Viridiplantae; Streptophyta; Magnoliopsida; Apiales; Araliaceae.